GCUAUUUGCCUCCACCAUCUGGUCGGUCAACGGGAUAUCCUCAAGGUCCAGCAGGAGGAACUGCUUUUGACACAGGAAUCCCUGAAGUUGUCGCCGCAAGAAGCCUUAGUCUUCAAAAUACUGACAAUGGAUUCGGAAGGAAUAGUUUCCAAGAGCGUGGGGUAAACGCUAGACUCGUUAAUGGUCUAAGAGACCAACAACAUGGAAGCUUCGGUGCUAAUGGCGUCCGAGAUGAAAGUGACACCGUGAGCCUUGAAGCGGAAAAUAGCGGCUUCAAAUCUCGUAUAUCCUAUCAAGACUCUGAAGAACACAGUGGAUACGACGCAAGCAAUGGUCGUUCGAAUGGCAAUGGCUACCGCACACGUGGCAACCAUGCUGCACGAUCAAAUGGCUACUGAUGACGUGUUGUUUUCUUUUUUUUUUAAUAUUUCGUGUAUAACAAAUUC
Molecule: long non-coding RNA, 446 nt
Organism: Papilio machaon (common yellow swallowtail)
Lineage: Eukaryota; Metazoa; Arthropoda; Insecta; Lepidoptera; Papilionidae
Exons: 3
Source: RefSeq, a predicted model, not a curated record